RNAcentral lists this unclassified non-coding RNA (275 nucleotides) under Hevea brasiliensis (rubber tree). The record is from RNAcentral. Lineage: Eukaryota; Viridiplantae; Streptophyta; Magnoliopsida; Malpighiales; Euphorbiaceae.
GCAGACCAACGCACAACAGUAUCCGUAUCACGCAGUCCUGACAGCAGUAAUUCAAUUAUCUCUUCUACUAUAUCAGGGACAUCCAUGUCUUCUUCGUCAUGACAGUCCGGUUCUUGGUCGAAAUUUGAUAGAUCAUUGUUUCUAUAAUUAUUGUAUUGGUUCGUUUCAAUUCGAUCAGCAGUAAUAUGCCCUCCAAGCGUGCUGGUUCUACCCACAUAUCGCCAUGACUGAUGACGUGGAGGGAGACAUAUCAUCCCAAUCCUUUGAGUUAGCUU